Non-coding RNA from Drosophila melanogaster (fruit fly), 18196 nucleotides. The record is from Ensembl. NCBI's taxonomy places the organism in Eukaryota, Metazoa, Arthropoda, Insecta, Diptera, Drosophilidae.
ACAGUUGUUUUUCAGACAACAGAGCGGACAACUUUUUCGCAGUUUUAAUUCUUAAUUAAUUAAUGAAUUCGUAUAUAUUUUAUAAGCCGUUUACAUACGCGUUUCGUUUCACGAAUUUUUUUUUUUAAAUCUGACGUGUUGUCAGAAAUACUUUUUUUUUAUGAAAUAACUAAGUGGCAGAAUGAUCUUAUGGUGAUGUGAAAUAAUGAGAUCUGAUUUGAUAUAAUAAAAGGCAAAUACUUUUCAUUUUGGACAGACAAAAAUUACCUUCUUACAAAUCGAAAUAUUCUUACGAGUUAGAAAGCCGGAGCCCAGAUUUUUCAAUUUUAAUUCGAAAUCGUAAGAUACUUACGACUUCGUUAAUUCUUACGAAUAUGUUAAAGAAAGUAAAGGGUAACAUUGUAAAUAUCGAUAACUAACGAGUAAGCGCUAUAUUGUCAUCGACCGUGAACAAUCGAGGAAGAGCCAAACGAACAGUCGGCAAAGAAUAAAAAAUAAAAUACAGUAAAUAUAAGUUUUUAACGUGAGGGGUAAAAGAAAACAGAUUUGUUAUGAGAUAUAUUAAAAAAGACGAGACUUGAGCUGAAAGCUAUCCUAGAGCGAGAGAACGGUUUUUGCCAAGACGACUCCACCAUUAAUCAACUGCGAGCAGCGGCGAAAACCAUAAUGGACGAUUAGAAAUGAAACUAAAAAAAAUGCUUCUCAGCCGCGAAAGAUGCCAUCAAAUGUUGAUACACCCUCAAUGUCUUUAGUAAGUAAUAACAGUAAUGCAGCCUUGGCUGAAGAAGCAGAUAAAAUCAUGCAAGUAGACCUGCCUGAAAGUAGUUCUGAUUAAGAUGAAGCAACUCCAGCUGCUGAUCAUAGAAGCAGACAAUCUUUAAAUACUGCUAAGCCUCCAGCCAUUUGUGUCCCAAACAUCAGUAAUUCCCACUCCCUGGAACUAGAGCUGAAUUCGGGUGCUGGUGAGAGCCACUAUACUUUACGAACAUCGAAAUUUGGAGUGUCACGGUUAUACACGGUCAACUCUGGGGCCUUCUGUGCCGUUAUAAACAAAAUAAGUUCUAUUAAUUGUAAGUUCUGGCAUCAUCAAUUAAAAGAGGACAAGCACUACAGUGUCGUGCUCAAGGGAAUACAUGCAUGUUCCCAAGGAACAAAUUAAGAAAGCAUUUGUUGAUCUGGGAUACAAAACUCUCAACAUGUAUUGCCCGAGAAAGGGAGAUUGGUGGAACGAACCAAUUUGUGAUGGGGAUGACGAUGCGGCUAUCAACCACAAGGCAAAACCUGUUCUUCGUUAAUCUAAAAUACGGAUUAAAAAUGUAUGAUUUUCUGAAGGUAACGUAACUUGGUAGACACAGAGUCACCAUAGAACGCGCUCGUCGCACUUAAGAAGUGCUGCAAUGUCUGAGAUUCCACAUUUUUGGGCACUCAAAAAACUAUUGUCUCCAGGAUUUAAUCUGUGGCAAGUGAGCUGGGCCCCACGCAACUGGCUCUACGCUAUGCACGAGGACAAUUAUUUGUGUAUCAACUGCGGUGGUGAUCAUGCUGCAACUGACAAUAACUCCCCAAGCCUCCCUACUUUUGUUGCUCAUGGCAAUACUGUCAGCUCUUUUUAGCAUCUUUAGCAUCGGUGUAUCUCCCUCCCAGUGAGCCGUUGAUAAAAGCUUAUAUUGAGUCACUUUUUAUAACUCUUGGUGGCAAAUUUAUAGCAGGUGGAGACUACAAUGCCAAACAUCAUUGGUGGGGAAACUCAAGAACCUGCGCUAGAGGCAAACUCAUACAGGCUGCAGCAAAUGGCCACCACCAAAUUUUGGCAGCUAACAUUUUUCUCCUCCAACACACAGACCAUGCCAUGCCAAUGAAGAAGCCUCUACGCUCCCGUUUCCUAGCUCCUGGUACUCAUGUCGAGACUUUCAAGGAACACCUGUCUGAACUAAUCGACUUAAACAUGGAAAUUCAAAUAACAGAAGGUAUUGACAACGCCAUAAGCUUAUUUAUGGAAAAACUGAAAAACUGCUUCACGCAAGCCUUUGUUCAGCCGCUCCUACCUUUUGCAAUAGUUGACCUCCUUCGGAAGUCAGAAAGGAAUUUGCAAGAAAGGAGAUGUCCUAAUUCUCCCAGUGGAGAAUCACGAAAUUGUUCAAGUUUUAGGCUUCUCAGAAAUCCGCUAUAAGAAGCCCAUCUGGUGGUUGGUGCCGCACAUCACAGGACAAAGCUUAUCAAGCAGCUUGGAGCAAAGAUUUAAGCCGCUCGCACUUGCCGAUGCGUAUCAUUGCCGUCUGGUUGCAGAGUCUCUUAAAACGCCAUUUCAAAUGACACUGCCCGCGGAUCCAGUCACUCUCGAAGAACUGAAACAACUUGUUUCCAUGUUGAAGUCAAAAAAAGCCCCGGGUCAUGACCUUCUCGACAAAUGAACGAUAAAAAUCUUACCAGACCAAGCUCUGCGAUUUGUGGUACUCAUUUUUACCAGUGUUUUACUUUAGGGUUAUUUCCCUCAUUGCUAUGUGAUUUCCAAUUCGGAUUCCGGACUCAACACCCGAGCAACUCCAUAGAGUUGUCAAUUUUGCACUAGAAGCCCUAGAAAGGAAAGAGUAUGAGGUAGCAGCUUUUCUGGACAUUCAACAAUUCACCCCAGCUAUUCCAGCUUAUGACGAGCUUUUUGUUAGGAUGAACUUUCUGUGAGACGACCGACUAAUGCACUUCGUGUAUUAAAGCCAUCGAAGCUGGAGUACCUCAAGGAAAUGUGUUAGGCCCUACUCUAUACUCCAUCUUCUUCGCGGACAUGCCAACCCAGACAGCAGUCACUGGAUUAAAUCGUAAAGAUGUGCUGAUUACAACAUAUGCGGUACUGACAAAAAGCAACAGCAAGAGAACUUGGACGCAUUCCAGAAUUGGGCAGAGUUGUAGAACAUCUGCAUCAAUGCUGACAAAUUUGCAAACUGCAACUUCACAAAGCGCAUAGUUGCCAUUGUGUCUCACUUAAAGGAAGAGUGCUUGACCACAAAUCAUCAUACAAAUAUCUUGGAGUGAUUUUGGAUAGAAGUUUAACCUUCGGAAAGCAUAUCUCGGCGAUAUAGCAGUCCUUUAAAAAUAAGGUUUCUAAAAUGGUAAUUGCUGCCCGCAACAAGCUUUCCCUCGCCAAAAAGGUUAAAACUUACAAGAGCAUAUUAGCUCCUGGUCUAUUCUAUGCCAUAGACAACUAAGUAUCGCAGCCCAAAGCCAUCCGACAAGUACUAGAAGAUGAUUGAAACGCCACCACCCUCAAGACCUGACUGACCGGGACCUGAGACAAAUCCUACUUAAUUAAAAUCUCCUAAAUAUUACAGCCUAAACAUUCAAUUUCUUAAAUACUCUUAAUCAUAUAAUCUUUGUAAAUAGCAUAGAUAUUAAGAAUAGUUAUAACUGAUACCGAUUAGAUUAAGUUGCCCAAGAAGGGUAAUAGUACGCUAGUCAAUUAAAUUAAAUAAUUAUGUUUAAUGUAAAAAUAAAAUGUUUUACAUAAAAAAAUGAAAAUUAAAGUUGAGCGUUUUAUUUGAAAUUGUUUUUCGUGCAUUUUGCAUUCGGUGCCGAGAUGUUUUCACAAUAGAACCUUGGAUAGUUUUACACACUCCAUAUAGACUAUUUAGGCUUUUACCAAAGACACUAGAAUAACAAGAUGCGUAUCGGCCAUACAUUGGUUUGGCACUAUGCAGCCACUUUUUUGGUGACGGCCAAAAUUGCCCUCUGUCCGCUCGCUUACGCUGAGAGCGUAAGAAAUCUAAAAAUAGAAUCUGCCUGCUUGUGUGAGUAAAAACAAGAGACGAGAACGCGUAUAUGUGUGCGUGUUGUGCUAGAAUACGAUUUUCGGGCCGAAAUCAAUUCUGAUCGAAGAAACGAAUUUACAUAUUUGGGGAGUUUUGGCCAAUUUCGUAGCAAUAUGAUGAAAUUGCGCGCUUUUUAGAAAUAGCAAAUUGGAAUAUAAAAAAAAAACACUGAAUAUGAAAAACAACUGAAUCUAAUGUGCAUUUUAAAUCAUAAAAUUGGAUAUUUUACAUACAUCAUAUUAAGUCAAAUGACUUAAUAAAUAUACUAAAUAAUUAAAGGAAAUGUAAAGGAAAUUAUUAUAACUACUGUAAUUUAGGACAAAAAUUUUUCAAAAAGAAGACAUUACAUUGAGAAAUAAAUAUUUCAUAAAAAUAAUACGAAGUAGAAAAUAUAAAUUUAUAAAAUUAAAAAAAACAUGAAAACUGUUUAUUGCAAGAGUCAUAUCAAAGACACUAGAAUUAUUCUAGUGUCAUUGCUUUGGUCAUAUCUUGAGGCACGAAGUGCGGUCACAAGCACUCAACAAUCAGUGCCCUAUUAAUUUUUCACACGCCGCAAGCUGAAUACUCUAAUGACAAAUAUUCUAAUAUAAAGUCACUUUUAAAAUUUAUUUUGUGAUAUUAUGGUUCGGCUAUUACUAUUCCUAAGCUAUAUUUAAAUAAGAAUAAUCUUAAGGCAAUGCAAAACAAGAAUUUUUCGCAUGGUGCCAAUUGAUCAAAAAUAAUAUAGAUUUAAAGGCUAAGAACUUCUAAGGUGAAGGGCAUAUUUUGUCAAAUUUACAAUGCAUGAGCAUACGUGUGCACACAUACAGCUGUCUGCUAUCACUGUAUGCGUAGAAAAGAGCUGUUCGCUGUUGCGCUCUCCGCUCUCUCGCUCUCGAACAAAAAUUCGAGAGAGCCUUGAGCCACCUCUAGAGCCACGGCGAAAAAAUCGUGUUCCAAAAAAUCGUAUGGCGUUACGCAUCUUGUUGUUCUAGUGUAUUUGCCCUUACCGUGAGUAAUUUCAAAGAGAAAGAACCACCGGGUUUUGUCUAUGAUUUUAUCAAAAUUGUCAGACUCUUUCCCAUUAAUACCACUAGUACAAGAGAAGAGAUAGAUUCUUUGAUUUUUACAGUGAACCCCAUAGAACUAUAUCGGUCACUUAACUUCAACACCUUUUGUCAAGAGCGACACUUUGAGCAAUGUUUGCCAUAUGCACAAGAACAGUUGUAUCGACAAUUUUUUUCCCCAUAGUUCGCCACUUCGUAGUCAACGUUGUGGCCAACCGACUAGCGUACACAGCGUAACAUUCGGCACCAGCCAGGCGGCUGUUGAGUUAUUUACAAAACAUUGCGACCGGCGUCUUUUCGAUUUCGAAGCGCUGGAGAAAUAAGUCCUGGAACUCUUUCCAAGUCAUACCGUUAUACAAAAUUUGCGUAAGCCACUAGGAUGCGCUCUCGCCUAGAGUAUGGCUAAUUUCCUUUUUCUCUAGGUGUAUUUCCUUUUUUCGUGUCGCUAUCGCACUCUUUUCAAGAUUACAGAUAAUAGGAUUAAGUUUAUUCUGUUCUAUUAGUCAGAACAUAAUACUCUGUAGGGGUCUUGCAACUCAUAGUUUGAUCUACAGAGAUUUAAGAUAAGGGGUACGUAGUUUCUAGUGAAUCUGCUUGAAACAGAGAAGAUUAGCUGACUAACCAGAACGGGGCUAUCAACUUCACCACGAAUAAGCUUACACAUAGCUAGGGAUGGUAAAUUAAUUAAAAGUCGUCUACUGAAAUAAGGAGGUAAUAUACGGUUUGCAUCCCAAUUUAGGCGCUGCAAGGCAAAAAGUAAAAAGUUUUUUUUGGACUGAUUUAAUGCGGGCUACGUGGACUAUGUAUUGUGGACUCCAAACUGAUGAUCCAUACUUAAGAAUCGGACGGACUAACGAAAUAAAUAAGGUUUUAGUCUAGUAAGGAUCAUCAAAUUCCUUAGACCACCUUUUUAUAAAACCAAGCACACCCCUGGCCUUAUUGACAACAGUCGAAAUAUGGUCAGAAAAUUUUAGUUUAGGGUCCAGAAGAACACCAAGAUCAUCAACCCGUGUUAUUCUGUUCACAGGGCAGCCACUUAGAGUGUAAGUCGUGCGUAUUGGGUUAAAACGACAAAAGGUCAUAACUUUACACUUUAAGUCUAAUACGUCUAAUAAGUCUAAUACGUUAUCACGGCACUAUACUUGAAAUCGGUCUAGAUCGGAUUGUAAGUCCAAAUGGCACGAAGUGUCCUUGUACUGGAGGCAUAAUUAAACAUCGUCUGCGUACAUAAGUACACGCGAAUGUUUUAUUACUAAGGGGAGGUCGUUAAUGAAUAAGGUAAAAAGAAGCGAACCAAGAUGGCUCCCUUGUGGGACACCGGAUGUGACUCGGAGAAUACAAGAUAGAGAAUUUUUAAGGAGGACUUGUUGCGUCCUGCCAUUCAGAUAGCUUGAAAUCCAAUUCAGAAGAUCAACAGGGAAACCUAAAAGAUCAAGUUUCCUUACUAGAAGGUAAUGAUUAACAGAGUCAAAUGCUUUACUGAAGUCAGUGUAGAUGACAUCUGUUUGAAGAUUAUUUCUGAAACCCUGUAUUACGAAAGAAGUAAGCUGCAUGAGGAGCUGCGUUUCAUAAAACCGUGCUGACACGGUGAUAUGGUCGAUCUACAAUGGUGCUGCAAAUGAAGAGUGAUAAUAUUUUCAAAAAGUUUUGGGAUAGCCGACAAUUUAGAGAUUCUUCUGUAAUUGCUUGCAUCCAGUUUGCUACCUUUUAUAUGAAGAGGAAUCACAAAGGACUCCUUCCAUAUAUGAGGGAACUGUGCAGAUUCCAGAGAUAAGGUUAAUAGUUUCAGUAGAGGCUUGCACAAAGCUUCCGCACAGAAUCUGAGCACACAGCCAGGGAUUCUAUCGGGACCUGGCGAAUAGACAGAUUUAACACGCUGAAGAUCGUUAAGCAGUGAGCUUUCGUUUAUAGUGGGGCAAAAUAUUAGAUUCGACUUAGAUACCGCAUAAGAGUAUGGCUGUUCGGAAUGAGGUAAAGUUAAAUAUUUUGUUUGAAAAAACAUGGCGAAUAGAGCGGCUAUUGCCUGAUCCGAUGUUUCCGUAGUGUUUUCAAAAAAUAGCGAGGAAGAGUAAACACUUGUUUUUCGCUUAGGGCUAACGAAAUUAUAAAACUGUAUCGGAUCCUGUGCAAACUGGAACUUACAACGGUUUAAAUAAUUCCUAUAGCACUGAGCAUUUAGCACGGUAAAGUUUAAACGAGUGCUUAAAUAUUUAGAAAGGAUGUAUAGUAACUUAUGUAGUUACCGCUUUAGUUAAUUACUAAGUACAAUAUCUUGUUGUUUUAUGCCGUAAGCUUGUUGCGCGCGGAGCUGAAGUUUUAGUGUGUCCAGUCUGACGAUAUCAGAAGAUAUCGUCCUCCAGGAAAGGUCUUGGCGUUAGUACCUGUUUUCGCCGUGAUGCCAGACCGGGCUUCAGUCUGGGCGCCACAUCUACUCCCCCUCCAGUGACUUCGCCAGGUGGUGAAGGUAACGGUAUAAAUUCUGGAGCUGCAGGUGCAGGGCUCGGCGGUUUAGGUGGCUGCGAAAUCUGUUGGUCAGUCGGUUGAUCCUCGUGGUGGUCUUCGCAAGCGUCAGCUUCAGCUAAGAAGGCAGGCUUGAGGAGAUCGACUGAUAUGGCCUUCUCUUGUCCAUGAAUGCUGAUGAUGUAGAACUUGUCAUCAACCCGGCGUAUUACCCGAUGAGGUCCCGUGUAAGGCGGCUCGAGUGGUUUCUUAACAGAUGCCACUCGCUUGAAGACGUGCGUACAAGUUCUCAGGUCCUUACAAAUGAAAACAGGUGGUUUAGCAUGAUGCGCUGCAGGAGUAGGUCGGGCUGCCCUGAUAUGUUGACGUAGUUGCUCGGUUAGUCGGUGAUCCUUGCUGAAGGCGGUUGGAGUGUGCGAUUCAAAAAAUUCGUUGGGGAUACGAAUAGUGGUGCCAAAAAGCAUUUCGGCUGGCGAUGACUGGAGGUCCGCCUUAAACGCCGAGCGCAGGCCCAACAGAACUGUAGGUAGGAGAUCCGGCCAUGCUAUGUGAGACUUACACAUCAGGGCGGCCUUGAGGGUUCGGUGCCAUCUCUCCACGAUGCCAUUUGACUGAGGGUGAUAUGCGGUUGUACGAAUCCUUUCGGCUCCAAUUAAUUUAGCCCAGCUCAGCAAACAAUGAGGAUUCAAAUUGAGUUCCCUGGUCCGUUGUUAUAGUGAGUGGGCAGCCAAACAUGCAGAUCCACUGUGUAUACAGAGCUGUCGCGACAGUCUCCGCGGUGAUAUUGGAUAGUGGAAUAGCUGCAGGCCAUCUGCUGAAGCGGUCGAUGAUGGUAAGACAGUAGCGUAAGUUACGGAUUGUGGGAAGUUCAAUCAGAUCGACGUGAAUGUGCUCGAAACGAUUGUCAGGAACAUCGAUCUUCUCCAUUGGGCUGCGUGUGUGGCGAUGGAUUUUGGCCCGCUGGCAAGGAACGCAUUGUCGAGACCAGAGGGUGGCAUCACGGUUAAUUGCUGGCCAGACAAACCGCUGUUUAAGUAAUUUUGCAGUUGUACGGCCGCUGGGAUGCGCCAAUCCAUGUACUGCAUCAAAAGCUUGGCGUCUCAGACUUUUGGGUAAAUAUGGCCGCUCGCGUCCACCCGAGAUGUCACACCAGAUGUCUAGGUUGUCGAUGUUCCUAACUUGUAAACCCAGGGACGUGAGAGAGCUCAGCCAUUUCAUCGUCGGUUUGUUGGGCCUCGAAUAUCGCUUGAGCACUGAAGCUAGACGGCAUGCUUAUGGUGUUGAUGCGUGAGAGGGCGUCUGCCACUGCGUUGUUUUCCCCGGGAUUGUACACUAUCUCCGUUGAGAAUUGGGAGAUAAAAUCCAAUUGGCGGAGUUGUCGAGGCGAUGCUUUGCUUGCUUUCUGCCUGAAAGCGUAUUGCAAUGGUUUAUGGUCGGUUUGGAUGAUGAAUGGACGACCCUCUAGAAUGUGCUUGAAAUGGAUGAUACCAGCGAAAAUAGCCAGGAGCUCGCGAUCAUACGUGCUGUAGCCUUGCUCUGCCGGAGAUAGUUUCCUCGAGAAAAACCCGAUGGGACGCCAAAUGUUGCCGACUAGUUGUUCGAGAGCAGCACCGAUCGCUGUAUCGGAGGCGUCCGUUUUAAGGGCGAGGUGAGCCGAUGGGGAAAGGAACGAAGAGCACGUGGCACGUAAAAUUCCUUGCUUGCAGGCCUGGAAUGCACUCUCCGCAGGGCCGGUCCAGGCUAUUUCGCGCUUGUCAUUUUUGGUUGCGCCUUUUAGGUAGUCUGUGAGCGGGAUUUGAGCCUGAGCUGCGUUUGGGAUGAGAUGUCGGUAAUAGUUGACCAUUCCCAAAAACCGGCGCAAUUCCAUGAUAGUUUGAGGCUUGGGAAAAUUGUUGAUUGCUUGCGUGCGCUCAACAGGGGGCUUGAAUCCGCUCGCGUUGACUUGGAACCCUAAGAAAAUAACCUCACUUUUACCAAAUUGGCACUUUUUAGGGUUAAUUUGGAGGUGGUUCCUCUGCAAAAUCUCAAAGAUUGUCUGGAGGUGCUUCAAAUGCUCCUCAUGCGUUGUGGAGAACACGAUGAUGUCGUCCAUAUAGCAUCCCACGAAUGGAAUGCCACGAAGCAGGUUGUCCAUGUGGCGCUGGAAGGUUUGCGCUGCAUUGCGGAGUCCGGGUGGCAUGCCGACAAACUCGAAAAGGCCGAACGGUGUAGUGACGGCUGUUUUCGGAAUAUCAUCUGGAGCGACUGGGAUCUGGUGGUAGGCACGCACCAAAUCGAUUGUGGAGAAAACCGAGCAUCCAUGCAGACGUUGAAGAAUGUCUUCCCCAUGGGGAAUCGGAUAACGAUCUGGAAUAGUGGACGCAUUAAGUUUGCGAUAAUCCCCAGUAGUACGCCAUUCGUUGCUCCCCUUGGGGACCAAAUGAAUAGGACUGGCCCAUUGACUGCUGGAGGGACGAAUCACUCCUUGCUGGAGUAAGAGAUCGAAAUCUCGGCGUGCCGCUUUUAAUUUUUCGCCUGUAAGCCGUCUUGGCUUGUCGAAAACAGGUGGGCCAGUUGUUUGAAUGCAAUGCGCAACCUCGUUAUGAAUGCGGGUUGCUAAAGGCACAUUAGGACGUGUGAUCUGCACAAAGCGACUAAGAAGAUUGGAGUACGGGCGAUCUAUUCCACUGGAACUUUGCACGUUGAUUGUAGAAACGUUGUAGAGUUUUGCUUCUGCAACUUCUCCUUUGGUCGAAACAGCUUUUGAGGGAUCCAUAAGGCGUUUACCCUUGAGGUCGAGGAUGAGGCCGUGGUGCGUGAGGAAAUCUGCUCCGAUGAUUGCUGAUUGGACGUUCGCAACGACGAACGACCAGGUGAAGUUACGCCGUAAGUUGAGACCAAAAGUUAGAUUUAGCGUGCCGUAGGUAUCAAUUAUAGACGUGUUGGCCGCGUAGAGUUUGAAGUCGUCUUUGCGACGAUGCAAUUACAACAUAUGCGGUACUGACAAAAAGCAACAGCAAGAGAACUUGGACGCAUUCCAGAAUUGGGCAGAGUUGUAGAACAUCUGCAUCAAUGCUGACAAAUUUGCAAACUGCAACUUCACAAAGCGCAUAGUUGCCAUUGUGUCUCACUUAAAGGAAGAGUGCUUGACCACAAAUCAUCAUACAAAUAUCUUGGAGUGAUUUUGGAUAGAAGUUUAACCUUCGGAAAGCAUAUCUCGGCGAUAUAGCAGUCCUUUAAAAAUAAGGUUUCUAAAAUGGUAAUUGCUGCCCGCAACAAGCUUUCCCUCGCCAAAAAGGUUAAAACUUACAAGAGCAUAUUAGCUCCUGGUCUAUUCUAUGCCAUAGACAACUAAGUAUCGCAGCCCAAAGCCAUCCGACAAGUACUAGAAGAUGAUUGAAACGCCACCACCCUCAAGACCUGACUGACCGGGACCUGAGACAAAUCCUACUUAAUUAAAAUCUCCUAAAUAUUACAGCCUAAACAUUCAAUUUCUUAAAUACUCUUAAUCAUAUAAUCUUUGUAAAUAGCAUAGAUAUUAAGAAUAGUUAUAACUGAUACCGAUUAGAUUAAGUUGCCCAAGAAGGGUAAUAGUACGCUAGUCAAUUAAAUUAAAUAAUUAUGUUUAAUGUAAAAAUAAAAUGUUUUACAUAAAAAAAUGAAAAUUAAAGUUGAGCGUUUUAUUUGAAAUUGUUUUUCGUGCAUUUUGCAUUCGGUGCCGAGAUGUUUUCACAAUAGAACCUUGGAUAGUUUUACACACUCCAUAUAGACUAUUUAGGCUUUUACCAAAGACACUAGAAUAACAAGAUGCGUAUCGGCCAUACAUUGGUUUGGCACUAUGCAGCCACUUUUUUGGUGACGGCCAAAAUUGCCCUCUGUCCGCUCGCUUACGCUGAGAGCGUAAGAAAUCUAAAAAUAGAAUCUGCCUGCUUGUGUGAGUAAAAACAAGAGACGAGAACGCGUAUAUGUGUGCGUGUUGUGCUAGAAUACGAUUUUCGGGCCGAAAUCAAUUCUGAUCGAAGAAACGAAUUUACAUAUUUGGGGAGUUUUGGCCAAUUUCGUAGCAAUAUGAUGAAAUUGCGCGCUUUUUAGAAAUAGCAAAUUGGAAUAUAAAAAAAAAACACUGAAUAUGAAAAACAACUGAAUCUAAUGUGCAUUUUAAAUCAUAAAAUUGGAUAUUUUACAUACAUCAUAUUAAGUCAAAUGACUUAAUAAAUAUACUAAAUAAUUAAAGGAAAUGUAAAGGAAAUUAUUAUAACUACUGUAAUUUAGGACAAAAAUUUUUCAAAAAGAAGACAUUACAUUGAGAAAUAAAUAUUUCAUAAAAAUAAUACGAAGUAGAAAAUAUAAAUUUAUAAAAUUAAAAAAAACAUGAAAACUGUUUAUUGCAAGAGUCAUAUCAAAGACACUAGAAUUAUUCUAGUGUCAUUGCUUUGGUCAUAUCUUGAGGCACGAAGUGCGGUCACAAGCACUCAACAAUCAGUGCCCUAUUAAUUUUUCACACGCCGCAAGCUGAAUACUCUAAUGACAAAUAUUCUAAUAUAAAGUCACUUUUAAAAUUUAUUUUGUGAUAUUAUGGUUCGGCUAUUACUAUUCCUAAGCUAUAUUUAAAUAAGAAUAAUCUUAAGGCAAUGCAAAACAAGAAUUUUUCGCAUGGUGCCAAUUGAUCAAAAAUAAUAUAGAUUUAAAGGCUAAGAACUUCUAAGGUGAAGGGCAUAUUUUGUCAAAUUUACAAUGCAUGAGCAUACGUGUGCACACAUACAGCUGUCUGCUAUCACUGUAUGCGUAGAAAAGAGCUGUUCGCUGUUGCGCUCUCCGCUCUCUCGCUCUCGAACAAAAAUUCGAGAGAGCCUUGAGCCACCUCUAGAGCCACGGCGAAAAAAUCGUGUUCCAAAAAAUCGUAUGGCGUUACGCAUCUUGUUGUUCUAGUGUAUUUGCCCUUACCGUGAGUAAUUUCAAAGAGAAAGAACCACCGGGUUUUGUCUAUGAUUUUAUCAAAAUUGUCAGACUCUUUCCCAUUAAUACCACUAGUACAAGAGAAGAGAUAGAUUCUUUGAUUUUUACAGUGAACCCCAUAGAACUAUAUCGGUCACUUAACUUCAACACCUUUUGUCAAGAGCGACACUUUGAGCAAUGUUUGCCAUAUGCACAAGAACAGUUGUAUCGACAAUUUUUUUCCCCAUAGUUCGCCACUUCGUAGUCAACGUUGUGGCCAACCGACUAGCGUACACAGCGUAACAUUCGGCACCAGCCAGGCGGCUGUUGAGUUAUUUACAAAACAUUGCGACCGGCGUCUUUUCGAUUUCGAAGCGCUGGAGAAAUAAGUCCUGGAACUCUUUCCAAGUCAUACCGUUAUACAAAAUUUGCGUAAGCCACUAGGAUGCGCUCUCGCCUAGAGUAUGGCUAAUUUCCUUUUUCUCUAGGUGUAUUUCCUUUUUUCGUGUCGCUAUCGCACUCUUUUCAAGAUUACAGAUAAUAGGAUUAAGUUUAUUCUGUUCUAUUAGUCAGAACAUAAUACUCUGUAGGGGUCUUGCAACUCAUAGUUUGAUCUACAGAGAUUUAAGAUAAGGGGUACGUAGUUUCUAGUGAAUCUGCUUGAAACAGAGAAGAUUAGCUGACUAACCAGAACGGGGCUAUCAACUUCACCACGAAUAAGCUUACACAUAGCUAGGGAUGGUAAAUUAAUUAAAAGUCGUCUACUGAAAUAAGGAGGUAAUAUACGGUUUGCAUCCCAAUUUAGGCGCUGCAAGGCAAAAAGUAAAAAGUUUUUUUUGGACUGAUUUAAUGCGGGCUACGUGGACUAUGUAUUGUGGACUCCAAACUGAUGAUCCAUACUUAAGAAUCGGACGGACUAACGAAAUAAAUAAGGUUUUAGUCUAGUAAGGAUCAUCAAAUUCCUUAGACCACCUUUUUAUAAAACCAAGCACACCCCUGGCCUUAUUGACAACAGUCGAAAUAUGGUCAGAAAAUUUUAGUUUAGGGUCCAGAAGAACACCAAGAUCAUCAACCCGUGUUAUUCUGUUCACAGGGCAGCCACUUAGAGUGUAAGUCGUGCGUAUUGGGUUAAAACGACAAAAGGUCAUAACUUUACACUUUAAGUCUAAUACGUCUAAUAAGUCUAAUACGUUAUCACGGCACUAUACUUGAAAUCGGUCUAGAUCGGAUUGUAAGUCCAAAUGGCACGAAGUGUCCUUGUACUGGAGGCAUAAUUAAACAUCGUCUGCGUACAUAAGUACACGCGAAUGUUUUAUUACUAAGGGGAGGUCGUUAAUGAAUAAGGUAAAAAGAAGCGAACCAAGAUGGCUCCCUUGUGGGACACCGGAUGUGACUCGGAGAAUACAAGAUAGAGAAUUUUUAAGGAGGACUUGUUGCGUCCUGCCAUUCAGAUAGCUUGAAAUCCAAUUCAGAAGAUCAACAGGGAAACCUAAAAGAUCAAGUUUCCUUACUAGAAGGUAAUGAUUAACAGAGUCAAAUGCUUUACUGAAGUCAGUGUAGAUGACAUCUGUUUGAAGAUUAUUUCUGAAACCCUGUAUUACGAAAGAAGUAAGCUGCAUGAGGAGCUGCGUUUCAUAAAACCGUGCUGACACGGUGAUAUGGUCGAUCUACAAUGGUGCUGCAAAUGAAGAGUGAUAAUAUUUUCAAAAAGUUUUGGGAUAGCCGACAAUUUAGAGAUUCUUCUGUAAUUGCUUGCAUCCAGUUUGCUACCUUUUAUAUGAAGAGGAAUCACAAAGGACUCCUUCCAUAUAUGAGGGAACUGUGCAGAUUCCAGAGAUAAGGUUAAUAGUUUCAGUAGAGGCUUGCACAAAGCUUCCGCACAGAAUCUGAGCACACAGCCAGGGAUUCUAUCGGGACCUGGCGAAUAGACAGAUUUAACACGCUGAAGAUCGUUAAGCAGUGAGCUUUCGUUUAUAGUGGGGCAAAAUAUUAGAUUCGACUUAGAUACCGCAUAAGAGUAUGGCUGUUCGGAAUGAGGUAAAGUUAAAUAUUUUGUUUGAAAAAACAUGGCGAAUAGAGCGGCUAUUGCCUGAUCCGAUGUUUCCGUAGUGUUUUCAAAAAAUAGCGAGGAAGAGUAAACACUUGUUUUUCGCUUAGGGCUAACGAAAUUAUAAAACUGUAUCGGAUCCUGUGCAAACUGGAACUUACAACGGUUUAAAUAAUUCCUAUAGCACUGAGCAUUUAGCACGGUAAAGUUUAAACGAGUGCUUAAAUAUUUAGAAAGGAUGUAUAGUAACUUAUGUAGUUACCGCUUUAGUUAAUUACUAAGUACAAUAUCUUGUUGUUUUAUGCCGUAAGCUUGUUGCGCGCGGAGCUGAAGUUUUAGUGUGUCCAGUCUGACGAUAUCAGAAGAUAUCGUCCUCCAGGAAAGGUCUUGGCGUUAGUACCUGUUUUCGCCGUGAUGCCAGACCGGGCUUCAGUCUGGGCGCCACAUCUACUCCCCCUCCAGUGACUUCGCCAGGUGGUGAAGGUAACGGUAUAAAUUCUGGAGCUGCAGGUGCAGGGCUCGGCGGUUUAGGUGGCUGCGAAAUCUGUUGGUCAGUCGGUUGAUCCUCGUGGUGGUCUUCGCAAGCGUCAGCUUCAGCUAAGAAGGCAGGCUUGAGGAGAUCGACUGAUAUGGCCUUCUCUUGUCCAUGAAUGCUGAUGAUGUAGAACUUGUCAUCAACCCGGCGUAUUACCCGAUGAGGUCCCGUGUAAGGCGGCUCGAGUGGUUUCUUAACAGAUGCCACUCGCUUGAAGACGUGCGUACAAGUUCUCAGGUCCUUACAAAUGAAAACAGGUGGUUUAGCAUGAUGCGCUGCAGGAGUAGGUCGGGCUGCCCUGAUAUGUUGACGUAGUUGCUCGGUUAGUCGGUGAUCCUUGCUGAAGGCGGUUGGAGUGUGCGAUUCAAAAAAUUCGUUGGGGAUACGAAUAGUGGUGCCAAAAAGCAUUUCGGCUGGCGAUGACUGGAGGUCCGCCUUAAACGCCGAGCGCAGGCCCAACAGAACUGUAGGUAGGAGAUCCGGCCAUGCUAUGUGAGACUUACACAUCAGGGCGGCCUUGAGGGUUCGGUGCCAUCUCUCCACGAUGCCAUUUGACUGAGGGUGAUAUGCGGUUGUACGAAUCCUUUCGGCUCCAAUUAAUUUAGCCAGCUCAGCAAACAAUGAGGAUUCAAAUUGAGUUCCCUGGUCCGUUGUUAUAGUGAGUGGGCAGCCAAACAUGCAGAUCCACUGUGUAUACAGAGCUGUCGCGACAGUCUCCGCGGUGAUAUUGGAUAGUGGAAUAGCUGCAGGCCAUCUGCUGAAGCGGUCGAUGAUGGUAAGACAGUAGCGUAAGUUACGGAUUGUGGGAAGUUCAAUCAGAUCGACGUGAAUGUGCUCGAAACGAUUGUCAGGAACAUCGAUCUUCUCCAUUGGGCUGCGUGUGUGGCGAUGGAUUUUGGCCCGCUGGCAAGGAACGCAUUGUCGAGACCAGAGGGUGGCAUCACGGUUAAUUGCUGGCCAGACAAACCGCUGUUUAAGUAAUUUUGCAGUUGUACGGCCGCUGGGAUGCGCCAAUCCAUGUACUGCAUCAAAAGCUUGGCGUCUCAGACUUUUGGGUAAAUAUGGCCGCUCGCGUCCACCCGAGAUGUCACACCAGAUGUCUAGGUUGUCGAUGUUCCUAACUUGUAAACCCAGGGACGUGAGAGAGCUCAGCCAUUUCAUCGUCGGUUUGUUGGGCCUCGAAUAUCGCUUGAGCACUGAAGCUAGACGGCAUGCUUAUGGUGUUGAUGCGUGAGAGGGCGUCUGCCACUGCGUUGUUUUCCCCGGGAUUGUACACUAUCUCCGUUGAGAAUUGGGAGAUAAAAUCCAAUUGGCGGAGUUGUCGAGGCGAUGCUUUGCUUGCUUUCUGCCUGAAAGCGUAUUGCAAUGGUUUAUGGUCGGUUUGGAUGAUGAAUGGACGACCCUCUAGAAUGUGCUUGAAAUGGAUGAUACCAGCGAAAAUAGCCAGGAGCUCGCGAUCAUACGUGCUGUAGCCUUGCUCUGCCGGAGAUAGUUUCCUCGAGAAAAACCCGAUGGGACGCCAAAUGUUGCCGACUAGUUGUUCGAGAGCAGCACCGAUCGCUGUAUCGGAGGCGUCCGUUUUAAGGGCGAGGUGAGCCGAUGGGGAAAGGAACGAAGAGCACGUGGCACGUAAAAUUCCUUGCUUGCAGGCCUGGAAUGCACUCUCCGCAGGGCCGGUCCAGGCUAUUUCGCGCUUGUCAUUUUUGGUUGCGCCUUUUAGGUAGUCUGUGAGCGGGAUUUGAGCCUGAGCUGCGUUUGGGAUGAGAUGUCGGUAAUAGUUGACCAUUCCCAAAAACCGGCGCAAUUCCAUGAUAGUUUGAGGCUUGGGAAAAUUGUUGAUUGCUUGCGUGCGCUCAACAGGGGGCUUGAAUCCGCUCGCGUUGACUUGGAACCCUAAGAAAAUAACCUCACUUUUACCAAAUUGGCACUUUUUAGGGUUAAUUUGGAGGUGGUUCCUCUGCAAAAUCUCAAAGAUUGUCUGGAGGUGCUUCAAAUGCUCCUCAUGCGUUGUGGAGAACACGAUGAUGUCGUCCAUAUAGCAUCCCACGAAUGGAAUGCCACGAAGCAGGUUGUCCAUGUGGCGCUGGAAGGUUUGCGCUGCAUUGCGGAGUCCGGGUGGCAUGCCGACAAACUCGAAAAGGCCGAACGGUGUAGUGACGGCUGUUUUCGGAAUAUCAUCUGGAGCGACUGGGAUCUGGUGGUAGGCACGCACCAAAUCGAUUGUGGAGAAAACCGAGCAUCCAUGCAGACGUUGAAGAAUGUCUUCCCCAUGGGGAAUCGGAUAACGAUCUGGAAUAGUGGACGCAUUAAGUUUGCGAUAAUCCCCAGUAGUACGCCAUUCGUUGCUCCCCUUGGGGACCAAAUGAAUAGGACUGGCCCAUUGACUGCUGGAGGGACGAAUCACUCCUUGCUGGAGUAAGAGAUCGAAAUCUCGGCGUGCCGCUUUUAAUUUUUCGCCUGUAAGCCGUCUUGGCUUGUCGAAAACAGGUGGGCCAGUUGUUUGAAUGCAAUGCGCAACCUCGUUAUGAAUGCGGGUUGCUAAAGGCACAUUAGGACGUGUGAUCUGCACAAAGCGACUAAGAAGAUUGGAGUACGGGCGAUCUAUUCCACUGGAACUUUGCACGUUGAUUGUAGAAACGUUGUAGAGUUUUGCUUCUGCAACUUCUCCUUUGGUCGAAACAGCUUUUGAGGGAUCCAUAAGGCGUUUACCCUUGAGGUCGAGGAUGAGGCCGUGGUGCGUGAGGAAAUCUGCUCCGAUGAUUGCUGAUUGGACGUUCGCAACGACGAACGACCAGGUGAAGUUACGCCGUAAGUUGAGACCAAAAGUUAGAUUUAGCGUGCCGUAGGUAUCAAUUAUAGACGUGUUGGCCGCGUAGAGUUUGAAGUCGUCUUUGCGACGAUGCAAUCCCUUGAUUAUCGAAACAGGUAUAAGUGAGAUGACUGAUCCGGAGUCGAUAAGGAAUUUUAUGUGGGUAUUACGAUCGAUUAUGUGAAGUCGGUACUCCUUUGAGAGGCGAGUGCUUGGAGGUCUGCUGUCACCAGUCGCCUGAACAGGUGACAGCUUCUUUAGUUUCCCUGCUGUGGCACCCAGGCACAGGGCGAGGAGCAUUUUCGUGCAUUAGGUCCGAAUUUGGCAUGAUAAAAGCAGACACGUGGUGCUCGGAGUUGCUGCUGGUUGCGAUCGGCUGAGCGAGAAUGGCUGGGAGGCUGCAUGUUCUGCAGAAGAGUUAAAGAGGCCUUGAUGGCAGCGAUGUCGCGUUUCAAGUCGUCCACGACACUUGUGCCAGCAGCCGGCGCGUAUUCGCGGGUGUUACCUCUGAAUUGUGCCGAGGAGGACCCAGCAGCCAUGACAAAAGAACCCGAUUCCUCUUCCAUGAGAUCGUCAGCGAGUGCA